This 253-nucleotide ribosomal RNA is filed under the name uncultured bacterium. RNAcentral describes it as "partial 16S ribosomal RNA". It matches the Rfam family "Bacterial small subunit ribosomal RNA", at positions 524 to 776 of the family's 1533-position model. The record is from RNAcentral.
UACGGGGGGGGCAAGCGUUGUUCGGAAUUACUGGGCGUAAAGGGCUCGUAGGCGGCCAACUAAGUCAGACGUGAAAUCCCCCGGCUUAACCUGGGAACUGCGUCUGAUACUGGAAGGCUUGAGUAUGGGAGAGGGAUGUAGAAUUCCAGGUGUAGCGGUGAAAUGCGUAGAUAUCGGGAGGAAUACCUAUGGCGAAAGCAGUCUUCUGGACCAUCACUGACGCUGAUCUGCGAAAGCUAGGGGAGCAAACAGG